This 714-nucleotide long non-coding RNA is filed under the name Pongo abelii (Sumatran orangutan). Its description in RNAcentral is "lincRNA". The record is from RNAcentral. Lineage: Eukaryota; Metazoa; Chordata; Mammalia; Primates; Hominidae.
UUCAGCAGAGAGCUGCUCAUAGAAUCAAGUGGGGUUAGGAAUUUCUGGAUAACAUGAUAACUCCUGAGAUUAGUGGCACAGUGAGAUGGGUUUAGCCUUGUCUCACUCCCCAGUCCCAUCCUCUAACCCCACACUACCCCAGCCAUCCCAUCAUCCCGUGCUUCUCUUCCUACCUAAUUGGGUACAGAAUGAGAAAAACAGUCAGGAACAAGAGAUGGUGACAGUAAAGAGCACCAGGUAAACCUACUGAAAGAGCACCAGUGGCCUCAUGUGGAAUAAUUUUAACUCCACUGAUGCCUCCUACAAUCAAAUAAUCAAACCAGCCAACUCUCUGGAGAAAUAAUGAAAACAAAUUGUUCUGUUCUUAUUCUUAAUUUAACAUUUUUCAUCUUAUGAAUUGGAUACAAUUGAAGCUUGGAAAUACCUAAAUUUUAAAAAUUUGGCAUAUCUUUUUAGAACUCAGUUAUUACUUAAAUCCAUCCAUCAUGGUACUUGGAAGUAGGAUAAAGAUCACUUUCAGAGAGGAGUACACCAAAAAAAUUCCCACCCAAGGUGUCAAUGUCACUAGAGGAAUAUUCUGUGCUAUUUAAGUGGAAAAGUGAUUUCCCUUUCCAUUUCAUCAGGCAGAGAUUAUUAUACAUUUUGAAGCACAUAUUGGAGCUUGGAAGAAGAAUGAAGGAUAAAUAAGGGUCUUGUGCUACGGACAAAGCAAAU